UGCUGAGCUCCGGUCGGCAAGUUAUUACCCAAUCCCGUCAGGUCCGGAAGGAAGCAGCGGUUAGUAAUUAAUUUGGGUGACCGGUAAGCUUGGCAUUA
This 98-nucleotide signal recognition particle RNA is filed under the name Ignavibacteriaceae bacterium. Its description in RNAcentral is "signal recognition particle sRNA small type". It matches the Rfam family "Bacterial small signal recognition particle RNA". Rfam says of the family: The signal recognition particle (SRP) is a universally conserved ribonucleoprotein involved in the co-translational targeting of proteins to membranes. Archaeal SRP consists of a 7S RNA and homologues of the eukaryotic SRP19 and SRP54 proteins. Lineage: Bacteria; Pseudomonadati; Ignavibacteriota; Ignavibacteria; Ignavibacteriales; Ignavibacteriaceae. The record is from RNAcentral.